This 197-nucleotide long non-coding RNA is filed under the name Anser brachyrhynchus (Pink-footed goose). Its description in RNAcentral is "lncRNA (ENSABRG00000018460.1)". Lineage: Eukaryota; Metazoa; Chordata; Aves; Anseriformes; Anatidae. The record is from RNAcentral.
AAAUCCUAAAAAUGGCUGCCGUGCAGAUGAUUUACAUUCUCUGGAUUGCAACGAGGCAAGCCAGGGCACAGAUCUUUCAGGCAAGGAUUGUCCCUCAGUUAUACUUGUUCAGUGUCCAGCUUCAUGAGGGAGGUGUGAAUGUGCAUCCACUGAGAUACAGCUGUGCAGCUAAUGAUUGGUGUUGGGCUAGUAGCUGA